GCCCGGUUAGCUCAAUCGGUAGAGCGUGAGACUCUUACGAGGCACACGUUCUGAUGUGACAAUCUCAAGGUUGCGGGUUCGACCCCCGCAUCGGGCU
Molecule: transfer RNA, 97 nt
Filed under: Escovopsis weberi
Lineage: Eukaryota; Fungi; Ascomycota; Sordariomycetes; Hypocreales; Hypocreaceae
Rfam family: tRNA
About the family: Transfer RNA (tRNA) molecules are approximately 80 nucleotides in length. Their secondary structure includes four short double-helical elements and three loops (D, anti-codon, and T loops).
Source: Rfam by way of RNAcentral